This 416-nucleotide ribosomal RNA is filed under the name uncultured bacterium. RNAcentral's name for it is "bacterial SSU rRNA". It matches the Rfam family "Bacterial small subunit ribosomal RNA", at positions 355 to 787 of the family's 1533-position model. The record is from RNAcentral.
UGGGGAAUAUUGCACAAUGGGGGAAACCCUGAUGCAGCAACGCCGCGUGAAGGAAGACGGUUUUCGGAUUGUAAACUUCUGUUCUUAACGAAGAAAAAUGACGGUAGUUAUGGAGCAAGCCACGGCUAACUACGUGCCAGCAGCCGCGGUAAUACGUAGGUGGCAAGCGUUGUCCGGAAUUACUGGGUGUAAAGGGAGCGCAGGCGGGAGAUCAAGUCAGCUGUGAAAUCCAUGGGCUUAACCCAUGAACUGCAGUUGAAACUGUUCUUCUUGAGUGAAGUAGAGGUUGGCGGAAUUCCGAGUGUAGCGGUGAAAUGCGUAGAUAUUCGGAGGAACACCGGUGGCGAAGGCGGCCAACUGGGCUUUAACUGACGCUGAGGCUCGAAAGUGUGGGGAGCAAACAGGAUUAGAUACCC